AUUGACAGAUUGAGAGCUCUUUCUCGAUUCGGUGGGUGGUGGUGCAUGGCCGUUCUUAGUUGGUGGAGCGAUUUGUCUGGUUAAUUCCGAUAACGAACGAGACUCUGGCCUACUAAGUAGUCGACGGAUCUCCAGAAAAUGGUGUCCAGUUCGCAACUUCUUCUUAGAGGGAUAAGCGGCAAUUCUAGCCGCACGAGAUUGAGCAAUAACAGGUCUGUGAUGCCCAC
This 227-nucleotide ribosomal RNA is filed under the name Homarus americanus (American lobster). RNAcentral's name for it is "partial 18S ribosomal RNA". It matches the Rfam family "Eukaryotic small subunit ribosomal RNA", at positions 1239 to 1473 of the family's 1831-position model. The record is from RNAcentral. Lineage: Eukaryota; Metazoa; Arthropoda; Malacostraca; Decapoda; Nephropidae.